UAGAAUUAUAGUUUAUUAGAAUAUCUAACUUGCAGCUAGAAGGUGUUUUACUUAUUCUA
This 59-nucleotide transfer RNA is filed under the name Hirondellea gigas. RNAcentral describes it as "tRNA-Ala". The record is from RNAcentral. Lineage: Eukaryota; Metazoa; Arthropoda; Malacostraca; Amphipoda; Lysianassidae.